This is a long non-coding RNA of Oncorhynchus keta (chum salmon), 543 nucleotides long. RefSeq lists it as uncharacterized. The record is from RefSeq and is a predicted model, not a curated record. The transcript is spliced from 3 exons. Lineage: Eukaryota; Metazoa; Chordata; Actinopteri; Salmoniformes; Salmonidae.
CAUUACAUUUACAUUUAAGUCAGUUAGCAGACGCUCUUAUCCAGAGCGACUUACAAUUCUAAAUUCCAUGCAUGACUUAUUCAAUUGGAAUUCAUCAGAUACUGUAUGUAAUAUAAAUCCAUCAAUGUUUUUCUUCUUCUUUUAUUAGGUAUGCACAGACCCCCAAAACUCAAAUGGAUUGAUUGCCUUUCAAUCUCAACACAGCUGGUGUUUCAUCUCUCUUGCCAUCUGACAUAGAGCACAGGGCCCACAGAACAUGUACACUGCCCAGUCAUCAAUUAAGCUGCCCGGGAUGUUGUAUCUCUCUCUCAUUGAUGUGCGCAUCAUCAUCAUAGUUGUUGGCAGCAGGGGGAGACAGAAGCAUUCACCAUACCUCUCAGCCAUCUGACAGGUAUCACAUCAUAUAUGGAGAACUAUCUACACAUUAUAUAUGUAGAACUAUCUACACAUUAUAUAUGGAGAAUUAUCUACAUAUUAUGUAUGGAGAAUUAUCUACACAUUAUGUAUGGAGAAUUAUCUACACAUCACUAUGUAUGGAGAAUU